UGUUGUUUGGAUAGGGAAAGUUCAUUUAUGAACUCUCUAUUCGGUUCCAACCAGAAAGUGUAUCUAGUGUACUGACACUAUGACACUAAUGGGGCGAUAGCUCAAGCCAGGGAAUCAAGGUCUCAUCAAGGUCCGAACUCAUAUGAGAGACUGAACCACAUGAUUAAGAAUCAUGUAUAAUGGUGACGUCGUUAUUCUCAAGGUU
This 205-nucleotide long non-coding RNA is filed under the name Malus domestica (apple). Its description in RNAcentral is "long non-coding RNA (MDOM_LNC020013)". The record is from RNAcentral. Lineage: Eukaryota; Viridiplantae; Streptophyta; Magnoliopsida; Rosales; Rosaceae.